Molecule: long non-coding RNA, 464 nt
Organism: Mauremys reevesii (Reeves's turtle)
Lineage: Eukaryota; Metazoa; Chordata; Testudines; Geoemydidae
Exons: 3
Source: RefSeq, a predicted model, not a curated record
GAUCUUCUCUCAUUUAAUGCACAGGAUGACUGCACCGGGGGGCAGAAUUAAAGGUUGCUUGGCAAACUGGUUCAAAUACACAAGGAACCCAGGAAUACCCAUUAUGGUGGAAAAGAAUCCCUCCUCUGCCUGAAUCCAUUUCUGGCAUCCUGAAUGGAAACAUGCUACAAGGUCACUACAGGCAUUUCUAUCGGAAGACAGCCUCUGAGGAGUCCUGCUUCAGUGGUUUCCAUUUCCAAGUUCCCUUCAGUCCACAGAUUCAUCCACCUUAAAGUAAAACUAACCCUUUCUUAAAUCUCAGACUCAUAAUUGCUCCUAUCUUUACUUGUUCCAAUUGUGUGUGAAAUGUUCUAUUUAUGGUCUUCUAUGAAGAAAAACAGUCAUGUUAAUCUGUACCAGAACUGCAAUCUUGGCUGGGGGAGUUUUUUAUUGAUCAUUUUAAUUUCUUGAAGCAGAUCUGGCAC